GAAAUUUUGGCCACGACUGAAAGCAUUUUCUCAGGGAAUGAUUCCCUAUCCUGCUCUCACCAACACUCAGGAGUUCUAGAGGACAGAAGUUCAACACGGGCCUCACUGGCUAAAAUCGAUGUGUGGACAGGGCUGUUUCUCUCUGGAGGUUCCAGGUAAGAAUCUGUGUUCUUACCUUUCCAGCUCCUAGAAACUUCUAGAGGGCAUCUUUCUCCACCUCCAAAGGCAGCAACAUUGCGAUUCUCAAAACCAUUCUUCC
This 259-nucleotide long non-coding RNA is filed under the name Mustela putorius furo (domestic ferret). RNAcentral's name for it is "lncRNA (ENSMPUG00000028992.1)". Lineage: Eukaryota; Metazoa; Chordata; Mammalia; Carnivora; Mustelidae. The record is from RNAcentral.